GGCUAGCCCAGUGGUAGGGGGCAGUGUUUUUGGUGCUGUGGCCGUGGGUUCGAGUCCCAGAGGUGCCC
This 68-nucleotide transfer RNA is filed under the name Hordeum vulgare. RNAcentral's name for it is "tRNA-OTHER". Lineage: Eukaryota; Viridiplantae; Streptophyta; Magnoliopsida; Poales; Poaceae. The record is from RNAcentral.